This 89-nucleotide transfer RNA is filed under the name Bacillota bacterium. RNAcentral describes it as "Firmicutes bacterium (gut metagenome) tRNA-Leu". It matches the Rfam family "tRNA". Rfam says of the family: Transfer RNA (tRNA) molecules are approximately 80 nucleotides in length. Their secondary structure includes four short double-helical elements and three loops (D, anti-codon, and T loops). Lineage: Bacteria; Bacillati; Bacillota. The record is from RNAcentral.
GCCGCUGUGGCGAAACUGGCAGACGCAAGGGACUUAAAAUCCCUCGAAAGUAAAAUUUCGUACCGGUUCGAGUCCGGUCAGCGGCACCA